AUGUUACAGAGGAGUGCGCGGCUGGCCGGCCUAUGUGAUGUUCCUGCCUGCGGCUGCCACCAGGCUGUGCAUGCGGCUUGCUUUGUUCAGCCCCUUUCAGUUGAGCUGGGUCCUGGUAUCCUCGGGAACAUCUUUUUAGGGAAUCCAGGCCCUCUAAAAUAUCUCCUUUUAUUGUUUGCUUCAACUGUUGGAGAUGUUCUCGCAGGCGGAGAUCUAUAUGAUGAUACAGUGCUAGAGUUAGAAUUUCAGGGCCUGAAAANNNNNNNNNNNNNNNNNNNNUACUCCAGUUCUGAAGCUGUGGUUUAUGUGAGAUGUGGUGAAAGAACAAAUGAGAUGGCUUGGGUUCUCAUGGACUUGCCCCAAUUGACAAUGACGUUCCCCAACAGACGUGAAGAGUUUGUCAUGAAGAGAACAACAUUGGUUUCUAACGCGUCUAACAUGCCUGUCGCUGCUCGUGAAGCCUCCAUUUAUACAGGUAAAGGUGUAAUGCCUUGA
This 495-nucleotide ribosomal RNA is filed under the name Triticum aestivum (bread wheat). Its description in RNAcentral is "partial small subunit ribosomal RNA". The record is from RNAcentral. Lineage: Eukaryota; Viridiplantae; Streptophyta; Magnoliopsida; Poales; Poaceae.